Molecule: transfer RNA, 72 nt
Filed under: Capra hircus (goat)
Lineage: Eukaryota; Metazoa; Chordata; Mammalia; Artiodactyla; Bovidae
Also listed under: 1 other name
Rfam family: tRNA
About the family: Transfer RNA (tRNA) molecules are approximately 80 nucleotides in length. Their secondary structure includes four short double-helical elements and three loops (D, anti-codon, and T loops). Further hydrogen bonds mediate the characteristic L-shaped molecular structure. tRNAs have two regions of fundamental functional importance: the anti-codon, which is responsible for specific mRNA codon recognition, and the 3' end, to which the tRNAs corresponding amino acid is attached (by aminoacyl-tRNA synthetases). tRNAs cope with the degeneracy of the genetic code in two manners: having more than one tRNA (with a specific anti-codon) for a particular amino acid; and 'wobble' base-pairing, i.e. permitting non-standard base-pairing at the 3rd anti-codon position.
Source: Rfam by way of RNAcentral
UCCCUAGUAGCUUAGUUCAUAAAGAAUCUGCCUGCAAUGCAGGAGACCUGGGUUCGAUUCCUGGGUCAGGAA